This 420-nucleotide ribosomal RNA is filed under the name uncultured bacterium. RNAcentral describes it as "bacterial SSU rRNA". It matches the Rfam family "Bacterial small subunit ribosomal RNA", at positions 28 to 439 of the family's 1533-position model. The record is from RNAcentral.
GACGAACGCUGGCGGCGCGCCUAACACAUGCAAGUCGAACGGAGCUAUGUUGAAAGCUUGCUGGAUAUAUAGCUUAGUGGCGGACGGGUGAGUAACACGUGAGUAACCUGCCUUUCAGAGUGGAAUAACGUUUGGAAACGAACGCUAAUACCGCAUAACGUCAGAGGACGGCAUCGUUCUUUGACCAAAGAUUUAUCGCUGAAAGAUGGGCUCGCGGCCGAUUAGGUAGUUGGUGAGAUAACAGCCCACCAAGCCGACGAUCGGUAGCCGGACUGAGAGGUUGAUCGGCCACAUUGGGACUGAGACACGGCCCAGACUCCUACGGGAGGCAGCAGUGGGGGAUAUUGCACAAUGGGGGGAACCCUGAUGCAGCGACGCCGCGUGAGGGAAGACGGUUUUCGGAUUGUAAACCUCUGUCUU